Molecule: ribosomal RNA, 387 nt
Filed under: uncultured bacterium
Lineage: Bacteria
Description: bacterial SSU rRNA
Rfam family: Bacterial small subunit ribosomal RNA
Source: RNAcentral
AUUGAACGCUGGCGGCAUGCCUUACACAUGCAAGUCGAACGGCAGCACGGGGGCAACCCUGGUGGCGAGUGGCGAACGGGUGAGUAAUAUAUCGGAACGUACCCUGGAGUGGGGGAUAACGUAGCGAAAGUUACGCUAAUACCGCAUACGAUCUAAGGAUGAAAGUGGGGGAUCGCAAGACCUCAUGCUCCUGGAGCGGCCGAUAUCUGAUUAGCUAGUUGGUGGGGUAAAGGCCUACCAAGGCAUCGAUCAGUAGCUGGUCUGAGAGGACGACCAGCCACACUGGGACUGAGACACGGCCCAGACUCCUACGGGAGGCAGCAGUGGGGAAUUUUGGACAAUGGGGGGCAACCCUGAUCCAGCAAUGCCGCGUGAGUGAAGAAGGCC